Molecule: long non-coding RNA, 1124 nt
Organism: Pygocentrus nattereri (red-bellied piranha)
Lineage: Eukaryota; Metazoa; Chordata; Actinopteri; Characiformes; Serrasalmidae
Exons: 2
Source: RefSeq, a predicted model, not a curated record
UGGUGGAGUUGAGGGAACUUCCAUACUUCCACACUUCCAUGUUUGCCUGUGUGGGUUGGAGUUCAGGAAGGAAGCAGUGCAGAAAUAAAUCAGAGCAAAGAAGACGAGAAACUUUAAAACGACGCCAAAGGGGGUGGAAGGGAAGAGUUAAAGCUACGAAAGAUCUCUCGGUAAACCAACUCUGCUGUGUUUCCAGCCAUCCACACUUUAUCUGGAGAUAAUGGCACGGUGGAAAGCGAACAAAAGAGCCCCCAAAAUAGCCAACAAACUACUCACCAAUCAGCCCUCCGACCAUGAACGAAAACGCCUGGAAUAAAAGCAAGAUAACUCCAACGAUCACCAACUUUUUGGUGCUCAUGUUCUCGAUAAUCGCCCCUGCCAUGUUUUCACGCGUAAAUCCGUCGUGCACAGCGGCGGAAAAGAGGAGGAAAGUUAAACGAAAGGGAAGAGAAAGGGAAGCGGCUGCAUCCAGGUAGAAGAGAGGAAGGAGUGAAGCAGGCAGAGCCUGCCUUUCUUCAAACCCGAGCUACAAGGGGAGGGACCACAUGACCACCGGGCAUCUGCCCCAUGGCACUGGUGGGGGACCUUUAAGAGCCAAAUUAGUGCACUAUUGCCCACAUAUACAGUAUAUACCGUUGUGUUGACGCAGAUCUCUGGCCUCCUGCUCUUUAUGAGCAACUCAAGAGCCUGAGACUGUAGAUGAGGGGUGGUGUUAAAGGGGAACUCCACUGGCUUUUCAAAAAUUCAGCAUAAUUAAGUGUUUAAGAGGUGAACAACGUCGUGCAGGGUGUUCGGUGUCAAGUGCUCCGUUCUGGAGAAAUGCAGCAGUUUAGAAUUGCUCACAGUGGUGGUGAUAGGAACCAGACGUCCGAAGCAUUUUUAGGAUUCAAAACUAAUGGCUUUGCUUUCUGAUUUGCUUAAUCAGAACACCCAAACGAGACCAGCUUUUUUUUUGUAUUUGGAAGGGCUUUAGAUCCCAUAAGAAAGCCAAAUGAACUUAGAAUCAGCCACUUAAAGCAUUAGGAUCCUUUACAUAGUGAUAGCAAUCCAGUAAAAAAAAAAAAAAAGGGCAAAAUGCAUUACAAAACCAUUAGGAAACAAUUGUUUUUCAGCAGGGCUCUAAA